This is a long non-coding RNA of Peromyscus leucopus (white-footed mouse), 318 nucleotides long. RefSeq lists it as uncharacterized. The record is from RefSeq and is a predicted model, not a curated record. NCBI's taxonomy places the organism in Eukaryota, Metazoa, Chordata, Mammalia, Rodentia, Cricetidae. The transcript has 2 exons.
UGAGAACUUCUGUAGGCUCAGGACAAGCCCUGAGGGAUACAUGGAACUGUCACUGGAUGGCCAUUAUGAGAACCAUUAAUGUUUUAUGAUAAUCUGUUUGUUUUCAUAUACAUGCUUCUGUAAGUGUAUAUAAAACAAAUCUUUAGAAAUUGAAAUAUUGUAAAAAUGAACAGGAAAUACUAAAUAUAAUCCUUUGGUAGAUUACUAAAGCUUUUCUCAAAAGUCUCACUUGAUAUUACAAAUUCCAUUUUCAUUGACACUUACAUCUACAAAAAAUUAGGAUAUAUUAGAGAUUCUGCGCUUAACAAUACUUCCUUU